Canis lupus familiaris (dog) is the source of this 1993-nucleotide long non-coding RNA. RefSeq lists it as uncharacterized. The record is from RefSeq and is a predicted model, not a curated record. Lineage: Eukaryota; Metazoa; Chordata; Mammalia; Carnivora; Canidae. The transcript has 4 exons.
CCAUGUUCCAGAAGACUUGAAACUCCGAGAACUGUGCCCCAUUCUCCUAUUUUUCUCAUGUGUUGCAGGACUUGGCUCUCUCUAACAUUUCAUUCUCCAGACGUGAUUCAGAGCAGAAGUUUCAUUACAUCUUGACAUUUUCCACCCAGUCUGAAAGUCCUGCACGCGGGCCUAUCCUGAGGCUCUCUUGCUGUUUGUUCAGUAACUAAUUAGCGCUGGUACAGGAACAAGUAUAGCCUCCAGGUUGUUGCCAAGACCAACGGCAUCCAAUUCCACUGGAGACGCUGUCAAUCGAGGCAAGUCUGCAUGUGCGAUACCGCAAUACAAAGUGAGCUGGAGUCUCCAACUCGUUUUUGUCACUUCAUUAUUAAUACUGUCAUCGGAAGUAAAAUUUCAAAGAGACUCGUCGACACAAAUGGCAAGCGUGCACUCUCACUACUUCGCUCAAUCUGCAAUACCCUGGGCAAUACCCCGGGAUCACCACCUGAGCUGAAGGCAGCCUCGCCCGCUUCCCCCAGAGCGGGGAAGGGCCCUCCGCACAGCGGCCCUGGAGUCUGGCUGUGCGCCUAGCCGGAAAGGACCUGCCUGAAUUACUUUUUUUUUUUUUUUUCCCUGCCUGGGUGCUCACAGCCAGGGGGGCUUCAUCUCCAUGGUAGCCUAACGUGGGGCAGCCGGACUGUAGCUGAGGAGGGAGCGGCCUGGAGCUGACCUCGACGCACGCAGCAUCUUCCCCAGGGUGCGUCUCUGGGAAGCACUCGGCUCAUCUAACCCUCUUACUUGUCAGAUGAGGAAACUGAGACCCCAGAGGCCCCAAGAUCAACUUGAAUCAAAGUGGAUUGAAUUUUGGAGAUCGGGCCCAAGACAGCUUUGCCUGCCACCCUCAUUCAAGUGCCUUCCGGGACCCGAUGAGCUGUGGAGCAACUCGGUAGGUGGAUGACUGUCUCUGUCACCUGUGUAACGCCUCCAGGGAUUCCAGAGCUGGGUCCUUCCACAGUCUUGAACUCUACUGCACUUCAACACACACACGCACAGACACACACACGCAGGCACCCAUACGCAGACACACACCUCCAACAGAAAGGCAUGAUCACACAAAGAAAAAUCAUCCCUUCUGAAACCUACCUGAAGACGGAAGGCCUGAUUCUAAACCUAAGUCGAAAGGACCUGGGGACCUACAGCCUGUUGAUAGAUGUCUCUGGAUUUGUCUGGAUGGACUCUUUGAAAUUGCAAUGGAUGUGCCCGUUCUAGAAGGAUACUGAAGCCUAGCAGGGUUCUGUGACUUUCCCAGUGUCACACAACAGAUGAACAGCAGAAUGAGUUCAAUAGAAACCAGCCACCUAAGCAUUUGCCAUACCUGUGGCCUCCACCCUGAGCACAGCAUGAACUGUCCCUCUGACAGGCUGAGGGAGCCGCUGCCCCUCACCAGGAAGGGUGUCUUCUUGCUUUGACAUAGCAGGCCAGCAGCAGCUCCUGACGGUGUGGCCUCAAGGAAUGGAAACCCAGUCAACACAGAGAAGUCAGGGGGACUCUCCCCAGCAUCAACGGGGCGAUGGAGCGGUGUCACCCAUGGGGGAGUCAGCAGGCCAGGGAGUCUGCGUGGGCUGGCUUACAUCCAACGUUGCGGCCUACUGGAUCGAUCCGUGGGAUCCGUGGUAUGGGCAAGUCACUCACCCUCAGUUUCCUCAUCUAGAAAACAAGAGAAAGAGUUGAACCACACUAGUGAUAAGGACACUCCAAUUAACCCAAUGAUGAGAUACGGCUUUAUGUCUAUCAGAUUGACAAAGCUUUUUAAAAGAUAGUGAUCAGUGCUGAUGAAGGUCGGUAACAGAAGCUGGCUCAUUCACUGCGGGAAGGUGUGGCGGAUUGAAAUCACUAAUUAAAUACCGAGUCUUUGAAAUUCACAUAUCCUUUUCCCCCAGAGAUUACACUUCUAGGAAUUUGCUGCAAGAAAUGAAUAAAGACUCCUAACUCUGGGAAACGAACUAGGGGUGGU